Molecule: long non-coding RNA, 330 nt
Organism: Bombyx mori (domestic silkworm)
Lineage: Eukaryota; Metazoa; Arthropoda; Insecta; Lepidoptera; Bombycidae
Exons: 2
Source: RefSeq, a predicted model, not a curated record
UAAUCAUUAAGACGAUACUCCGUUGUUACAAAAAAAAAGUUUCAUGAACAUACUGCGGUUUUCAUUUUAGAUUAAAAUUUUGGAAAACAAAUACAUAAUGGCACGAUUCGUGUCGGUGCAUCGGCGAGGUCUGCCGUGGCUGUCGGGACUUGCAUUUGGCUUGUCGGCAAAAUGAACGUGUCUGGCUCGCUAUGGACUCCAGGAAUAGCGUCGAACGGGACAGGUCAAACGGAAAUAAAGCAAGCUGCACUCACCGAACUUUGGACAUGUCUGAUAGCUUCACUGGCAGCUCGUGAAUAAAAUACAUGCUAUUUCUGUCUGCCUUUUUCA